Molecule: non-coding RNA, 362 nt
Organism: Vicugna pacos (alpaca)
Lineage: Eukaryota; Metazoa; Chordata; Mammalia; Artiodactyla; Camelidae
Source: RefSeq, a predicted model, not a curated record
AGUUCAGAGUGAGCUCUUCUGAGUUCAUCGUUCAAAGGGUGCCAACUAAGGCAGAGAAGAGCAACAGAAACAAUGGUCAUGGAGCUGGGAGAAGCAGGCGAGUCACAGAAAUUGUAGGGUAAGGAGUUACAAAAAGGAGGGUAAUUAGAUAAGGACUAGGAUAAGAACAUGUUAGAUUUAGCAGUUAAGAGAUCAGUCAUUACCUCCUCAAGCAAAUCCAGUAGAAGAACUGGAAAUGGUGGAGCUUUUUGAGAAGUCUAGAUGAAAGACAAGAGGUCGUAGAUGUUAGAGGGGACGAGAGAUCAAGGUAGAGAUUUGGGAAUGGGAGAAACUUAAGCAUGUUCCCAGGCUGAGGGAAAGCA